Molecule: long non-coding RNA, 2322 nt
Organism: Acipenser ruthenus (sterlet)
Lineage: Eukaryota; Metazoa; Chordata; Actinopteri; Acipenseriformes; Acipenseridae
Exons: 4
Source: RefSeq, a predicted model, not a curated record
UUCUGGCUGGAAGAAUUAUAGCCAUAUCUUUGGUGCAUGGCGGACCAUCCCCCAACUUUUUUUCUCGGACAUUAUAUGACAGUCUAGCCUAUGACCCUCAGCAGGUCACACCUUCUGUGAAAGACAUCUGUGAUUGUGAUAUUGCAGAGAUAAUUUUGGAGAUGGAGAAUGUGUCAACACUAGAGGGGCUUAAAGAUGUUGCAGCCAAGCACUGCAACCUUCUGCAUGUGGCAGGAUGUUACCGCUAUUUACAAAAUCUGCAAGACAGAGAUGUACUUGUACAAGACUUCAUGAAGUGAUAUGUUUGUGGCCGAACAAGAAAUUCCCUGGAAAGGUUAAAAGAGGGAUUGAAGACGCUUGGUGUGCUUGACGCCAUUGUUGCACAUCCUGUUCUUUUUGCCAAUUCAUUUUGCUGGAGGGAGGAAGUGCUCACAUCUGAACAGUUUUCAGAAUUGUUCAAAAUAUCAUUCAGCACUGCUGGAAGUAAUAAAAGACGUGAGGAACAAAGAAUUGUGGGCUAUUGGAGAGAUUACCUACAGGAUGUGGAAGAUGCGGAGUCCAGCAUGUCAUUAAGACAGAUUCUAGCAUUCAUCACAGGAGCAGACAAAGAGCCACCUCUUGGUUUUCAACCACAACCGUCUGUUGAGUUCCUGCAUGAGAAUAAUGAAGGAUAUAUCUCCAACUUUCCACAAGCUAACACAUGCUGCAAUAUUUUAAAGCUACCAAUUUUGAAGUCCUUUGAUGAAUUUAAGAAGCAGAUGGAUUUUGAUAUUCUCAACUCUCCAGGCUUUGGUCACCCCUGAGGCAGUCCUUCAUACUCUUACCAACUCCAUGUUCAGUUGGACAGUUUGGGACAGUUCAGGCUUUUUAACUCGCAUCUCAAUGCAUUUAGGUAUGUUUUACAUCUCGGGUACCUCAUUACUUGUUUAAGAGAAGUAGUACUGCACUUAACAGAAUGCAAUGAAGUGUGAGUUAAAAAGCCUGAACUGUCCCACUGAACAUGGAGUCAUAUGGUCACCUUAAGUAUAAAACAGUUCAGUGCAAAUAUUUGGGACAACCACACUAUUGUACAAUUCUUUUUGUUUUGGUUAAUUUAACAAGAUGUGGUUGUAAACCAGUUUUUGAACACAUGGUUGUUUAGUCUAAAUGCAAGUUAAUAAGCAUCUUCAUUGAUUUUAUAAGGCACCUGCAGCCAGAAAGCAGUUGCAUAUUUAUAGAAAGGGUUGCCAUUGUUCUCAUGUCCUCAGUGAGCCACCAUAGAAAUGUUUGUGUAGUAGCAGCUAUUUGUUUGCAAAAUGUAAUUGUGUCAACAAUGUAAUUCACACAUUUUUAGUUAAUGAAAGAUACGUUUUCAUAAUUAUAGAUGUGGGUAUGCAAACUUUUCUUAACAAAAAGGAAUGUAAUGUGACUGUUUGCCAAAUUUGCUUAUAGACAAAUGGUCUCAAAAGACAAAUUCAUUUUAUUACAAUUUCUUCAUAGAUAGUCAAUAUCAAUCAUAUUAUUUACCUUUUCUGCAAAUGGAUUUCAAAUGUUUGCCCGCGAUUGCAGUUUAACAAAAACAGGAAGUGCACAGAAAUGUAUUGUUUUAUUUUAAAAUAAUUGUUUCACACUGAAUUUAGUUACCUAAACAAUUUGCUCAUACUCCAGAAGUUUACAUGUGUAUACAUGGUGUCCUGCUAUAAUAAUUUGGCCAUCCCGAUAAAUUGUUAGUUAAUGUUAGUUUGGUUCUGAAAUUGACUAAUAAAAACAAAAGCGAUAUACUUUAUUGUAGCGCUUGGUUGAGCCACCUUUUGCAGUGCAAAGAGCCUCUAACCUGCAUUGAAUCUACUAGGUGUUGCGUCAUUCUUUGGUCCAGGUUUCUCCAGAUCGGUGCGAGUCUCCUUUAGUUCCAACAUAUUGGUGUGUGGGAUGUGGAUUGGUUUAUCUCCACUGACGAGCCAGGCACUUACAAAGGUGCUCAAUUGGAUUUGUGUCUGGGCUGUGGGGCACCCAUGGAUGAAGUUCAAUGCCUUCAUUCCUUUUCAGACUGUGGCCACACAAGACACACUACUAGAUGUUUAUUGAAGGAUAUCUCAAUUCUGCAGGGUGCAUUAACAUUUGAAAGAAAAAUCUACUGCUGUGCCAAGAUUUGAUGCCCAUACUCUUCAGAAGGAUAGCUCUACAUACCACUCCUUACAUGUGACCAGUCCGGAAGAGAAAUCAAAUCAAAGCAUUCCACUUUUUUCCCCUCGGUGCUCCAAAGCCCAGACAUCAGUCCGAUUGAGCACCUGUGGCAGUAUCUGGAUUGUGAGCAGCGAGCUACCAAUCCCAAGCCCCCCCCCC